UAUGGAGCUUUCUUGACAGCGCGCAAGCGCAGCACUGUGGCUACAAUGUAGCAGGAUACAAAUCGAAUCAAUCACUAGUCUACGCGACUCCGCCCAUAAAGGAAUGAAUGAAACUGUAUAUGGGGAUACCGAUAGGACGUAUUCGUGACAUCAAGUGUUAGUCCGUUUUAACUUCAUAUCACUCAAUUGCCCUGAAGCACGUAAAAGGAAACGGGCGACAUGGACAGGCCUGUUGAACCACGACAUUUCUCAGCAUACGAAGCCCGGUUGGACAAGCACAUUGCGGGACUUUGCAGCGUGGAUUUCCCGGUAGCUGUGGUUCUUCCAGCUGGUGGCAGUGGAGAAAGAACGGGGCUACUGACACCCAAACAGUUCUGUACGUUUCUCAACAGACCUCUGAUAAGCUACACAAUUCAAACUUUCGAGAGUGUGCCAUGGAUCCAAACCAUCGUUGUGGUGGUUGCCAAGGAGAGCUUAGAUUUGAUGAUGGACAUUAUCCAUCGCUUCCACCACAGAAAUGUCCUAGUGGUACAUGGCGGAUCUACUCGCCACAGAUCUAUAUUCAAUGGGGUCCGUGCCCUCAGUGAGGGAGAGGAUGGUACGGCCCGCGUCAAACCAAAGGUGGUCAUCAUCCAUGAUGCAGUGCGGCCCUUUGUGGAAGAGGACUUCCUCCUCAAGAUAACAAUGGCUGCCAAAGAACAAGGGGCUGCUGGGGCUAUCCGACCUCUGGUUUCCACAGUGAUUGCUACCACAUUGGAGGGCUACCUGGACCAUUCUCUGGAGAGAACCAUGUACAGAGCCAGUGAGAUGCCCCAGGGAUUCAUCUAUGAUGUCAUCUACCAGGCUUAUCAAAGGUGCAGUGAGUCGGACUUUGAGUUUGGCACCGAGUGCCUUCAUCUGGCUCUGCAGUACUGUGGCACCAAUGCUAAACUCAUCGAGGGCCCGCCAACCCUGUGGAAGGUGACCUACAAACGAGAUCUGGCUGCAGCGGAGUCCAUUGUCAAAGAGACUCUCUCCCAGUCGGCCUGUGUUGUCACAGGUGGCUCUGCACAGGCUAUAGAGCUGGCCAACGCUCUGCAGAGGAGCAUGAGCGCUUUGGACAUGGAGGUGGAUGUGAUCUCAGACUUGAUAGGAGACAAUGCCAAAUCUCUGUCAAAAGAGUGGAACUUUAUUCAAGUUUCUGUCAACAGUUCUUGCUUUUCUGAAGUUGGAAAAAUGCUGAGUGCGUUGGAGGAGGCAGACCGAGCACUCCUGCAUCCAGUGGUCAUUAUUUGGGUUUAUUUGAACGUGUCGGAGGACGGUUCGUCCGCCAGCGAGCCGAUGGGAGGAGAGCCGGCGGCCAUGAUGGAGCUCGCCGCAGGAGCCAAGCUCGGAAAUAUUUUAGUCUAUGGCAUCCAGCUUCAUCACUCAAAGGAAGCUACACUUUGGGGGCGGUCAGUGGAGAAGGUGGCCCAGAUGUCAUGUGCUCUGAUCCGGGACAGAAGCCCCGCCCUUACAGGACAGCUGCUCCAGGCGUGAGCCAACCCGGGAAGAGCAGAUCACUUCGUCCAGCCUCGCCUUGGACCACCUUUAUCACUACCCACCUACUGCUUGGCCACAAGGUUAUAGAAAAGAUCAGAAGCUCUGAACUAUCCGUUCAGACCCCAGUCCUACCUACCUACAGGUUAUGGAACAUUUGCUCUUUUAGUAUUUCCCCAAUAGGUUUCCUGAAGGAAAAAAGACUCCACUUCUAUGUAAAAGAUAAUAAAACUACAGUAAAUACUACAGUAAUGUCUGCAAAAACACUACAGUAAAUACUAUAGUAUACUACAGUCUGCAAAAACACAACAGUAAAUACUACAAUCUUCAAAAACACUUGCAUUAAUUACUAUAGUAUAUACUACACUUUUUUUUAAGAUGGUAUUUAUAUUAUAGUUAGCUAUAAAUGCUACAGAUUACUAUAGUAAACACAGUCUGCAAAAACACUAUACUUAUUACUAUAGUAUAUAUACCAUAGCAUACUAUAGUUUUUUAAAUGUGGGAUGGUCUCUAGAUCACUGGAUAAAGGUGCUGCUGAAUGGAGGAGAGGAGUUGACUACUGUAUACAUGUGUGAUUUUGUACUGCCAUGUUUGAGUGGAGGUAUAAAAUGUUUAAAUGUUAUUAAAAGAUUGCUUUCAUUAAAA
RNA transcript from Salvelinus fontinalis (brook trout), 2163 nucleotides. It is a transcript of the gene named CDP-L-ribitol pyrophosphorylase A, with no coding region annotated. The transcript is spliced from 11 exons. NCBI's taxonomy places the organism in Eukaryota, Metazoa, Chordata, Actinopteri, Salmoniformes, Salmonidae. The record is from RefSeq and is a predicted model, not a curated record.